Molecule: long non-coding RNA, 854 nt
Organism: Neodiprion virginianus
Lineage: Eukaryota; Metazoa; Arthropoda; Insecta; Hymenoptera; Diprionidae
Exons: 2
Source: RefSeq, a predicted model, not a curated record
AGUCAUGGGCUGGUACUUUGUAUGUAUGUACAUUGCGUAUGGAUAUACGUGAUGCUGUGUAGCAUGUGCCGAAUGCACGUCCGUCUGCCGCAAAGGGGCAGAAUUGGGGGCGGUAAAGAGUGAGCAGGUGUGCCCGAUGCGAUGUUAACCUUGAAAUGCCCAAACGACGCUACUACGACGAUAAUAUUGUACUGUAUCGACAAUUAAAUAUUAGUUGGAUUGACUUCAGGAAAUACUUUUCUUACACUAUUGAUAAUCCGGUCAUAAUGUAUGUAUUCGGUUCGAAUUUCAGUAAGGUUAUUUUGAAACUAAGGAUCAAACAGAUACAACCAAAAAAAGCCAAUAAUUGGGACAAAGCAUGGGACAGAAUCAAUAACUGAGACCUCGAAUGUUUUAGAAGAUGUAGGUACUACGUUAGAGGUUGGUCGUUGCAGCCCGGAAAGUUUAAAAGGACGAUGCAGCUGUUGGGCGCCUUUACGACUGCUAAACCUUCAUGAAAUUAAAAUUCGGUACAAUCGUUUACUAUAUUUAGCAGUUAUGUACGGAAAUAUUUUGGAAAAUAACUUGUACUGCAAUAAAAACCGAGACUUAAGUAUAUAUAUAUUCGGGCGACUGACCCUUGAGGUGGGCUUUUAAACUUUUCUUACAAAAAUUGUACGGGCUUAUGUAUGUGCAGAAGCACUAUACAAGUCGAACUUCUCAAUGUAUAUAAAUGCAUUCUGAUUAGGGUGAAAUAAUCUUAUAGAUUCAAUUAGCCUACUUAACACCUAGGUAUUUAAACUUUAAUACCCAAACUGCGACCUGUAUUAAAAGUAAAACUAUGAAUGGAAAAUUUAAUAAAAAGAUGAAACAUU